GGGCAUUAUGAUAGGACAGAAAGGGAACAUGGGCAGGGACAAAUAAGGGAAUAAAAGCUGGCCACCCCAGCCAGCAGUGGUAACCGGUUUGGGUCCUUUUUCGCAAUGUGGAGUCUUCGUCCUUUUGCUCUUCCCAAAAAACCUUGCUGCCUCUUACUUUUUGGGUCUGUGCCAUCUUUAAGAGCUGUAACACUCACCGUGAAGGUCCGUGGCUUCAUUGAUGAAGUCAGUGAGAAUCAUGAAGUCAGCCAGAGUACUGCCCUGGAGGGAAUCGACUGCCAGUUUAAGGAGUCAUUGUCCAGUUCAGACUCCAGAAUACGAAACGUAGAAACUGACAGGAAAUGACCAAGUAUAAAUUGCAACUUGUAAAGAAUCAUCUUAAAUCCUGGCACUGCGUUCAAGGGGGAGUUUGAGCAAGGAAUGUUGCUAAAACGGCUAAAACCAGGAACUCAGAAUAUCGUUCUACAAUAGAACCUAAAAACUGUUUCCAACCCAUCACGACAUCACCCUGAAAAAUGAGUGAGCAGUCACUGAGGCUUCCCAAGUUUGAAAAUUCCACAAGACUGAGAGCAAAUGUUUUGUUGAAACUGAAGUCAAGAUGAAGUCAGCUGACUCUCAAACCUCAGGUGAAGUGACUCAGGGCCCACACCCCGGUUCUGAGGCAGGGACACAUUUUACUUGCAGCACCCUGCAGCUUUGGAUGAGGCUGCAACCCGGGUGAAUCCUGGCCCUGCUAUCACGUGGGCAGCCACUGCAUCCUCCGGAGGCUGUGGAUGGGAGUCACCAUGCUGGGAGGUCUGGAGUAAGAUCUGUGCCAUCUGCCUUGCCCAAUCCUGUACCAGUGCCUGUGUUUCAAAAUCUCAAAAUAAAAGUGAUUAUUCUUGCAACACAUCUAGGUGUACUAAACGAAUACAAAAAAG
Molecule: long non-coding RNA, 920 nt
Filed under: Homo sapiens (human)
Lineage: Eukaryota; Metazoa; Chordata; Mammalia; Primates; Hominidae
Description: HSALNT0372103
Source: RNAcentral